UACAAGAACUGAAUAUAGAGUAGUGGUUUAAUAAUGGUUUUAGAAUGUAAAUGAUCGCAGAAGCAACAUGGAAUUCAAUAGUUGAUAUUUUGACUAUAAUUACUUUUUGACACUAACGACUUGCCACUGGUAGCUUCUUAAGCGGAAGAUCCUAUUCAAUUCCUUAUCUCAUUGUUGGAUUUGCCAUUCAAUUCCUUAUCUUACUUUUGUAUUUUUCAUGGAGUUUGGGUGCACAAUUACAAGGAGAGAAAGAGAGGGUGGGUGCAGUCAUUUUCUCUUUCUAUAUCUUUCCUUUCCCAAUUUGCGUCUCUGGUUGUUGGCGUUCGUCUUCCUCCUCAAGGUUUGAUUAUAUUGGGGUUGAAUUCUAAAGUGAGGGUGUGGGGGAAUAAGGGUGCAAGGGAAUAAGGGUGCAGGAUGUGCGCGUAGGGUGCAGGGGUUUCAGGGGUGGUAGGGGGUGGGGUGCGCCUGUGAAUUGCGGAGCUGCUCAGCUCUUCCUCUAUAAGAUGAGUUUCAUCCCUGCCUUAAUUCACUUAAAUCCUGUGAUUUCAUGCCUUUUUUUGUUCUGAUUCUGAGAGCAUGUUUCAGAUGGUGGUUUAAAUUUUUGCUUUGUUCUGCCUCUAGACAGCCGCCACCACCACUUUGUCCAAAUCUGAUGGCUCAGGCUGUAGCAUCUGCGUGAAUCUCCCCGUACAAUUGGACUCCGCAAUGUUUUCCAAAUAAACUCCAAACUCCGAAGGUGCAGCUGAAAAGUUAGAAUCUGAGGCAAUCAAAUCCAAUCCAGGGAAGAGAUUGGAUAGCUUCUGAGGUGUGGCUAUGAUCUGCUCCGACAAUUCCAAAUGGAGAUGAUACUGAAGAAGAUUCUCACAUAAGAAGAGAAUUACAACUCUCGGGCUGAGAGCUGCCAAUGCCUAAACCUCCAACAAAAUGGAAACUUUUUCCAAAACAAAAGGUUGAACAAAAAUAUCUCCAGGAUCCCCAUUUUUUUAAUGGCGCUGUUAAGGUUUUUGUCAAUUGUUAUUUACAAAGGUUGUGACUCUUCGUGCUGGCACCAAAAUAAAGUUUGUAGAAGGUUGUUUACUGACGAUAAAAGAGAAGCAUGCAUAUCAUGAAAAAUAAAAGACGGAAGUUCUGAAGUGACGACCAGGAAAGUUUAGAAGUCUAAUAUAACUGUAAACAAGAAUGUAAAUCCGGGAUGAAAAAUGUUAAUGUAAUUAUGAUUCUGGAUGACUCAUUUGCGAAUUUUAUCUUAAUUUGAAUAAUUUUUUAUCUAGGUGUACAGUUACAUAUGUGAUUUGUUGUUUAUGUGCCCAAGAUUAUACGAUGGUACUCAAUUUGGAUUUGUUGCUUCUUCUAUUUCUCAAGGAAACAGAACUUUUUUGGAAACCAUCUCUUUCUAAUCAAAGACGUUCAAUUUCUUCCCACUCAUUGUACAAUGUGUUUAUAAUUGUGUUGAAUUUAUUCAAAUUAAAUGUGUUUUAUUCAUCCGAUUACAUCUGAAACAACAUGUUCCCGCAGCAACGCGCGGGCAUAUUUUCUCGUAUAUACUAAAACUCAGUUGAGUUUUAGCACUGUUCAGAAAUAGUAAAAGGGCGGAUUUGCCCUUCAUUAGCUAUCCAUUCUAAGCUUUUUAUUGUGAGUUACACAGUUAAAUUACUAAUAUACCACUCCUAUACACGUGUUGCUCAUCGUGUAAGGGAAGAGGGUUGGAAAUGCAGGGGCUCUUUCAUUUGCUUCCAGAACAGAUUUUCUAGCUCUCCCCCCUCGCCACUUCCUCCACGACAACAACGCCUUCAGCCAUUCUCCUUACACUGUGACAACUUCCUUGCCGAUUCGAGCUGCUCGACCACCAUCAACGCCUCCUCAACACGCUUUUCUGAAUUGCUUUACAUCGGCCUUCACCAUUGGCAUAUACCUCGCGACCUCAUCAUCAUGUACUCAAGAAAAAAUCUGAAUCUAUCGCUCUCGAACUCGCCUCAGCCGCAAGUUCAGCGUUGACCGUUAUUUCUCCUCCUUGGCUUCUGUUUCUGUCUCUGACCCGUUCAACUUCAAUUGAGCUUGAGUAAGCAUUCCACGCUUGCCUUCUUUUACGUCCAAGGAAUUUGCAUUUUCAUUGCUUGAUGUAGGAGACACCAUUUUUUUCCUCUAACUUUGUUUCUUCUAAAACUUAAUGGAUCUGAUUUCAAUCCUCUUGCUGAAGAUUGAGAAACAGAAAGUUGGAGGACUGGAUGAUCAAGUAUUAACCCAUUUUAAAAGAAAAGGUAAACCAUGAAAUUCCCAAAGUGAUAUCCCAUGGCCUACAACUAUUUCCUUAUCAAUCAAAUCAUUAUUGGAAGCCUACUCGGAGUCUCCAUCUCUUGGAAGAGUUGUAUUAAUUUGCGUUUGAUUGGAAGGGUUGCAGAGAUUUGAUUCAAAUUGGUGGAUUUGGGUCAACAUGACUGAACAUAUUAGCAGACUUGCAGUCAUUGCAUACAUGGAAUACAAGGAGGUUUGCAAUUGAGCUUUGGUUUUAGUGACUUCUUAAAUUUGGUCAUGACUAAACCCUUUUUUUUUUAACUCUACUUAAAUCGUUUUCGGGGAACCAGUCAUUUGUGUUGUUUCUUCUCUCAACUCUUCGCUUUUAGUUGUCUAACUGUUGGAGUAUGGAUCUUGAUUGAAUUGAUUGUUUUAAUCUAAACUAUUGGUAGUGAUCUUUUAUUUAAUUUAUCAUAUUAUUGAAAGAAUCGCUUAGUACAAUCAGGUUUUAAAAAAAACUUAAUAUCAUUACUGUUUUGGAUUGUGUAGUGUUGAGUAGUAGUUGUUGAUUCCGC
Molecule: small RNA, 2807 nt
Filed under: Malus domestica (apple)
Lineage: Eukaryota; Viridiplantae; Streptophyta; Magnoliopsida; Rosales; Rosaceae
Description: sRNA MD17G0233800
Source: RNAcentral